UCAGGUGCCUAUAGCGGUGGUGUCUGCCUCUUCCCAUUCCGAACAGAGCAGGCAAGCCCGCCAGAGCCGAUGGGACUGCAGUAAAAUGUGGAAGAGGAGGUCGGCGCCAAAU
Molecule: ribosomal RNA, 112 nt
Organism: Mucilaginibacter polytrichastri
Lineage: Bacteria; Pseudomonadati; Bacteroidota; Sphingobacteriia; Sphingobacteriales; Sphingobacteriaceae
Source: Rfam